RNAcentral lists this microRNA precursor (108 nucleotides) under Olea europaea subsp. europaea. The record is from RNAcentral. Lineage: Eukaryota; Viridiplantae; Streptophyta; Magnoliopsida; Lamiales; Oleaceae.
UUGCCCAAAGAGCAAUGGAUAUUUGAUGGAGUUUUGUGAAAUAUAUAUAUAUAUAUAUAUAUAUAUAUAUAUUUCACAAAACUCCAUCAAAUAUCCAUUGCUCUUUGG